AUGCGCACGCUGGAAUUCGUGCCGCCGGCGUCGCGGCACAGGAUUGCGGAAGAGACCCUCGACAUCUAUGCGCCGCUCGCCGGCCGCAUGGGUAUGCAAGAAAUGCGCGAAGAGCUGGAAGACCUGUCGUUCAAGGUGAUCGAUCCGGAGGCGNGUGAUCGAUCCCGAGGCGCACGCCGUCGUUGUGCAGCGCCUGGAUGCGCUUGAAGAGCGCGACCGCAAUCUGAUCGGCGAAAUUGAAGCCCAGCUUUCCGCCAAGCUCGCCAAGAACGGUGUGAACGCGCACGUGAAAGGCCGCCGCAAGCAGCCGUUCUCGAUCUGG
Molecule: unclassified non-coding RNA, 322 nt
Filed under: Hevea brasiliensis (rubber tree)
Lineage: Eukaryota; Viridiplantae; Streptophyta; Magnoliopsida; Malpighiales; Euphorbiaceae
Source: RNAcentral